ACAGCAGCAGCCGCGGGAAUACGAAGGGUGCAAGCGUUACUCGGAAUUACUGGGCGUAAAGCGUGCGCAGGCGGUUAUAUAAGACAGAUGUGAAAUCCACGGGCUCAACCUGGGAACUGCAUUUGUGACUGUAUAGCUAGAGUACGGCAGAGGGGGAUGGAAUUCCGCGUGUAGCAGUGAAAUGCGUAGAUAUGCGGAGGAACACCGAUGGCGAAGGCAAUCCCCUGGGCCUGUACUGACGCUCAUGCACGAAAGCGUGGGGAGCAAACAGGAUUAGAUACCCCCGUAGUCCCUGUCUCUUAUAC
This 305-nucleotide ribosomal RNA is filed under the name uncultured bacterium. RNAcentral describes it as "partial 16S ribosomal RNA". It matches the Rfam family "Bacterial small subunit ribosomal RNA", at positions 505 to 807 of the family's 1533-position model. The record is from RNAcentral.